GCCAGUCUGGUGUAGUGGUUUGAGCAUUAGACUACGACUCUGGAUACCAAGAUUCAAAUCCUCGCUCAGCCA
Molecule: non-coding RNA, 72 nt
Organism: Phrynosoma platyrhinos (Desert horned lizard)
Lineage: Eukaryota; Metazoa; Chordata; Lepidosauria; Squamata; Phrynosomatidae
Source: the annotation of a GenBank genome assembly